RNAcentral lists this ribosomal RNA (301 nucleotides) under uncultured bacterium. Its description in RNAcentral is "partial 16S ribosomal RNA". It matches the Rfam family "Bacterial small subunit ribosomal RNA", at positions 509 to 807 of the family's 1533-position model. The record is from RNAcentral.
CAGUAGCCGCGGUAAGACGAACCGUGCGAACGUUAUUCGGAAUUACUGGGCUUAAAGCGCGUGUAGGCAGAUCGCCACGUCGGUCGCUGAAAUCCCCCGGCUCAACCGGGGAACGGGCGCCGAUACGGGCGGUCUCGAGGGGGGUAGGGGGGACUGGAACUUCCGGUGGAGCGGUGAAAUGCGUUGAGAUCGGAAGGAACGCCCGUGGCGAAAGCGAGUCCCUGGACCCUUUCUGACGCUGAGACGCGAAAGCCAGGGGAGCGAACGGGAUUAGAUACCCCUGUAGUCCCUGUCUCUUAUU